AUGGCAGCUCCAAGAGCACUCGCCCUCGCCGUCCUGCUGGCGAUCGCUGUCACCAACGCCGAGGCCGCUUCCGUGGUCGUCGGCCUGGCCAAGUGCGCCGACUGCACCAGGAGGAACAUCAAGGCCGAGGAAGCUUUCAAGGGUCUUCAGGUGGCGAUCAAGUGCAAGAACGUCCACGGCGACUACGAGAGCAAGGCAGUGGGUACCCUCGACCGCACCGGCGCUUUCAGCGUGCCCCUGGCCGCCGACCUCCACGGCGCCGACUGCGUCGCGCAGCUCCACAGCGCCGCCUCCAGCGCCCCGUGCCCUGGCCAGGAGCCGUCUAAGAUCGUGCCGGUGUCCGAGGGCACCACCUUCGGCGUCGUCGCCGGCGACAACAUUACCACGCCUUCUGCAGCAGCGUCGCCGGAGUGCGCGUCCAUGACCCUGUGCGGGCCGAUCAAGAAGCACAUCAUCGAGCACUUCCACCACAAGAAGCCCGUGCCGCCCAAGCCGGAGCCCAAGCCCCAGCCCCACCCUGACUACGGCCCCGUGCCCAAGCCCGAGCCCAAGCCGCAGCCCCACCCGGACUACCACCCCGUCCCUCCCACGCCCACCUACGGCGGCGGCGGUGGAUACCACGGACACCACUGA
Molecule: ribosomal RNA, 633 nt
Filed under: Triticum aestivum (bread wheat)
Lineage: Eukaryota; Viridiplantae; Streptophyta; Magnoliopsida; Poales; Poaceae
Description: partial small subunit ribosomal RNA
Source: RNAcentral